This 2480-nucleotide long non-coding RNA is filed under the name Oncorhynchus mykiss (rainbow trout). RNAcentral's name for it is "lncRNA (ENSOMYG00000069741.1)". Lineage: Eukaryota; Metazoa; Chordata; Actinopteri; Salmoniformes; Salmonidae. The record is from RNAcentral.
AUGCUGAGAUUUUGGGUUCUGUGUCUGUGUGUGAGUGUUCUCAGUGUAGGCGUUCUAACUCUGAUCCCCCAAAAACACGAGAUAGAAAAUGAGGUACAACACGAUGUGGAACAUGUGCAUGGAACAUGGACCAUGGAACAUGAAGCGAGGGAACCCGAUAAAAUCUAUGCAGAGACUCUAGCAACCCACCAACCUGCCACAUACACUCCUAUUAUGGACACACAUGCCACAGUCCCAACUCUGACAGACAUACCUCUUACAGAAACAACUGUGAUAGGUACAGCUAUUACGGAGUCAGACGUACCUGUGGUCGCCACAUGUCUUUCAUCAGCCCUACCCCUCACCUCAUUACCGAAUGAUGAAGAAGGCAGGGAUCAGGAAAAAGGCAGAGAGGACAAGAAUCCAAGAAUUGAAGAGGAGGAGGAGAAGGGGAGAGUGAGGGAUGAGCAGAUGAGAAAGGACAGAGAGAUGGAGGCGAGCAGAGGGAGGAGAGGAGUGACGGGAAGGAGACAUGCAGCAACUGUAGAGGCCACUGCGUACAGAAUGGCAGGUCUGGGGCGCCCCCUACCUGGCUGGAAGAAGCGAGGUACAAAUGGGGGAGCUGAACAGGAAGGUGUUCUCAGGACCAUACUAAAGGAACUACACAGUGAUAAGGACAGACUAAUGGACACAGAGAAGGCAGAGGAAGAGGAAGAUGAGGAGGAAGAUGAAGAUGAAGACGAUGAAGAGGAAGAUGAUUCUGAAGAGGAGGAAGAGGAGGAGGUGCGGGAUCGUAAUGAACAGGAUCCUUUCAUCAGGCAAAGCAUGAUGAUAACAAUAAUGAUGAUGAUGAUUAUGUUGAUGAUUUUUAUUUGUAUUUCUAGGAGGAAGAGGAAGAGGAGGAGGAAGAAGAGGGGACAGAGUCUCCCACCAAUCAGACAGUAGCAAGGACCAGCUUCACAGAGUCUCUCCCAGGGACGUGUCAAACGUCUAACGGACAAAUAAGCUGCAGGGGUAAUGGCAUGAAUCACCUCCCAAUCAUCACCGACCUUGGGGUCACGACCCUGGACCUGGCAGGUGAGGGGGUGGGCGGGAGUAAUAUGAAAUGAGUGUUGUAAAAGUUAAUAUGUACUGUAUAAAAUCAUGUAUUGUGUAUCUAUGACAUUAGUGAGUAUGUACAGUGGGUCAAAAAAGUAUUUAGUCAGCCACCAAUUGUGCAAGUUCUCCCACUUAAAAAUAUGAGAGAGGCCUAUAAUUUUCAUCAUAUGUACACUUCAACUAUGACAGACAAAAUGAGAAAUCCAGUAAAUCACAUUGUAGGAUUUAUAAUGAAUUUAUUUGCAAAUUAUAGUGGGAAAUAACUAUAAAACUAUAGUUUUGGCAAGUCGGUUAGGACAUCUACUUUGUGCAUGACGCAAGUCAUUGUUCCAACAAUUAUUAACAGACAGAUUUUUUAUUUUUUUCAUUUUAAUUUCACCUUUAUUUAACCAGGUAGGCUAGUUGAGAACAAGUUCUCAAUUACAACUGCGAUCUGGCCAAGAUAAAGCAAAGCAGUGCGACACAAACAACACAGAGUAACAGAUGGAAUAAACAAACAUACAGUCAAUAAUACAAUAGAAAAAUCUAUAUACAGUGUGUGCAAAUGUAGUAAGAUUAGGGAGGUAAGGCAAUAAAUUAGCCAUAGUGGCGAAAUAAUUACAAUUGAGCAAUUAGCAACAGUGAUAGAUGUGCAAGUAGAGAUACUGGGGUGCAAAGGAGCAAAAAAAUAAAUAACAUGGGAAUGAGUUAGUUGGGUGGGCUAUUUACAGAUGGGCUGUGUACAGUUGCAAUGAUCGGUAAGCUGCUCUGGCAGCUGAUGCUUAAAGUUAGUGAGGGAGAUAUAAGACUCCAGCUUCAGUGAUUUUUGCAAUUUGUUCCAGUCAUUGGCAGCAGAAAACUGAAGGAAAGGCGGCCAAAGGAGGAAUUGGCUAUGGGGAUGACCAGUGAAAUUAUCUGCUGGAGGGCGUGCUACGGGUGGGUGCUGCGAUGGUGACCAGUGAGUUGAGAUAAGGCGGGGCUUUACCUAGCAAAAACGUAUAGAUGACCUGGAGCCAGUGGGUUUGGCGACGAAUAUGAAGUGAGGGCCAGCCAACGAGAGCAUACUGGUCGCUGUGGUGGGUAGUAUAUGGGGCUUUGGUGACAAAACGGAUGGAACUGUGUUAGACUGCAUCCAAUUUGCUGAGUAGAGUGUUGGAGGCUAUUUUGUAAAUGACAUCGCCGAAGUCAAGGAUCGGUAGGAUAGUACGUUUUACGAGGGUAUGUUUGGCAGCAUGAGUGAAGGAGGCUUUGUUGUGAAAUAAGAAGCCGAUUCUAGAUUUAAUUUUGGAUUGGAGAUGCUUAAUGUGAGUCUGGAAGGAAAGUUUACAGUUGUCGUGUCUUUGGCAUCAUUGAAUUAAGACUUAUUUUUAUCAAAUAAAUUCUCUGUAAUUAUUAUUACGUGAUUAAAAUAUUUGAAACUUCUG